Molecule: long non-coding RNA, 9247 nt
Organism: Ictalurus punctatus (channel catfish)
Lineage: Eukaryota; Metazoa; Chordata; Actinopteri; Siluriformes; Ictaluridae
Source: Ensembl
UCCUCCCUUAAAGCACACACCUCUUGCUAUGAUCAUUUUUUUUCUAUCUGACACGAGCCUCGGCUAGCUUGGUGCCGCUGGCAAGGGGAGGCACGAGUAACCGAUCACUGUAUGGGUUUAGCUGCUACAGAGCCGUGCCAAACCCGUUCGCUGUCCUCACCCCCGCUCACACCCACGGGCAAUUUACUGUCUCAAAUUCACCUCACCUGCAUGUCUCAGGAUUGUGUUGGAAACCGCCGACUCGAGCUCCGAUAGGAUAAAUAUCGCACGCAGUUCUCCACCUCCUGUACCUCUCAUGCACACGCCAGACUCAUGUCCUCGACACCGAGUCUUGAACUGGUUACACCUUAACGGCAUCAGAGACGCUGUGAACUCGGGCGUAAAUAAUCCGAGACCACUUGCGGCACCGUGAUUUCAGUUUAAAGUCGAAUAAUCGUGCAGCCUUUACCAUACUGAUGUCUCAGCGGUCAACGUUUGGUGGCUUAAAUAUCCACUAGAGGUCCCUGUUAAGCGUUUUCAAUGCUUUCCCAUAGUCAGGUAAGCGCCGCUUUCAUCACCGUCACGUCCGUCACGCCGGGUUUCCCCUCAUGAAUGCGAAAACGAAAAUCCAAAGAAAAGAAAUAUUUCACGUUCUACGGAGAGCCGACCCUUCUCCAUCCGGUCUGUAUUAAUACUUCUGGUGUGUGCAUUUUAUUUCCCAGGAUUCCUACAACGUACGUCUCCCAAAAACCCGUGUCAGGUAUAUUUCCCUCGUCUAAAAAAAAAAAAAAAAAAGAAAACGCCCGUAUAUUUUUCCGAUAUGUUCCUCAUGUCUUGGACUCUAUCGUCGGGGGUUUGAGGAAAAUAUAAAAAGACGGUUCAAUAUAUACCGAUCAUAAAUACAUUCUCCGAGAAUUUCCAUUUCGGAUUCCGACCGUAAAUGUCACGUCCGUCACGCUGGAGUUGCCCCUAUGUCAUGAUGAUAGAUACGCUGACAUACAGAGCAGGAAGCAACCUUUUCAGGUAUACACUAUACGACACGGCGUCCCGGAUAAUGUGUGUGUGUGUGUAUAGGAAGACGUUAUACACGCCAUCCAUUCGGAAAUCUUUCAUUCGCCGUUCUAGUAACUACGUACGCUCCGACGAGUUUCGCUCAAAUAACCGAUAGCCGUUACGGAACGAUGAGAUACGAUGACGACUGAUUAAAUAAUAACCGGAGAUGACGUUACAAAAUGUUCAGACGUGAAUUAAAAAAAAUAAAUAAAUAAAAAAUAAAAUCUACAGAGCAGAAGCCUGGGAAAUCAUCCGUAUUGAACAAAAAGGCGCACGCAAGCACCCCUCUACAGCAAAUCAAAUUAAUUAUCAUCCUAAUUGAAGUCCUCCUCUUUGCUCUGUUACUCUAAUCUUAUAGCACUGCUCAUGCAGUUCACUCUGUGUGUGUUGGUGUGUGUGAGAGAGAGAGAGAGAGAGAGAGAGAGACGGAAAACCUUGGCAUUGUGUUUUCCAGUGAGAGGAACACCAUCAUUCUAUAAUCUCCUCUCGGUCACACGGGCUCACGUCUGACAGCGGAGAAGAGCGACACCGGUGCGAUGCGAUCCUGUCUGCUGACUUAUCCCGCAGAGACAGCGUUUCUGACUUAAGCCGUGAUUUCACGCUCAACAUCGCGGCAGACGAUGGAGGCUUGCACGGCGAGUUGUAUUAAAAAGAAGACGUGUUUAACCCGGGCCUGUUCUAGAAACUCCUUCACUGACUAUUAACCACUCUCGUGCGCACGGUAAGCUUUCCGAGUGAUCGGAAGACAACCCGGACGUCCUCUCGUCCCUUUCGGGCCCGAAUUCGACGCGUGAAACGCUUCGUACCGUGCGGUAUGUUGUUUUUUUUCCUUCCCCCUCCGCUAAAUAACGUGCAGCAUCAUUAGAGCUAAUACACUAAAACCGAAUAAACAAACAGAUCUCCCUGAGAGAGUAUUUGCGAGUUGCUGGAUGUCUUCACAUGCUGCCGAGUUCGUUCCUUGCGAGGAGGAACUAGCCUUCAUCUCCUGCCUCAUUAAAGUAAACUCAGACACGAGGAAGCACAACACUGCUCUGAACUCAACACAGCCUCGCUUUGACCCAUUUACAGACUCUUCUUCACGCUACGUCUCUAUUAACGCCUCUCUUUUUACUACGGGGUGUUAUCCGUGGGCUUUAGAAGCAUCCCGCUCAUCUAUUUUCAACAAUCAUUAGGAUAAUAAAAGGCACUGAUUACGAAGGAAAGAAGAAGAAGAAGAAGAAGAAAGAAGAGAACGCUCUGAUUAACUGUGAAAGAUAAAAAGUAAUGUUAUAAAGCGGUGCAGGUAAAAAAAAUAAAUAAAUAAAAAAAAAAUCAUUAAUGUGCUUAUAAUAAAACCCUGAGGAACUCCUUAAAAGAUGACUCGAAGCUUUACUUAGUAUAUAUUACACUCUUUGUUUGGUAGGUGAAUAUACAGUAUCUGCUGCCGAGGGUGAUAGAAUACAUCGUUGCUUAAUGGUUUAUCACAUUUUUACUAUACUGUUUAACAUCCUAACAGAUCUACAGUUCCUUCUGCGAUGUCCUGCAAACCUACACAUACCUUCACGUUUGUCCAAAAUAAGAAGCCUCUGCUAAGACGUUUUGGUUUCGGUCCUGCCUCUACCGCUGAGAUAACGCUGACUGAUUAUCCUAACGUGUUCACCUGUUCCGUGUCUCGCCUUGAUUUCCGCUCGUCGUUUCCGCCUCUCGUUACGAGGUUUAAUCAAAGCCCGAGCCUUCAUUUUCUGUCUUCGUGUCUUGGAACACGUGUCGUUUUGGACUCUGGGAUGUUUACGUUUUCAUGAUUGUCAACAGAAAUCCUUGGGUUAUGCGAUCUGCUUGUGCUUUGAACAAAGCUAUGGACAGGGAUUCACGUCACACGUUACAUGGGAAUUGAUGAAUAGAUAAGGAAAGUCGAAAGCAGAAAGGGACAGACCGGGAGAUAGAGACAGGGAUAGAAUCAGAUCGCAUCCAUUAAUCCAUUUUCUGUACCGCUUAUCCUACACAGGCUUGCGCGGAGCCUGGAGCCUAUCCCAGGGGACUCGGGGCACAAAGUGUGCCAAUCGCGCGUACGGACAAUUUCAGAGAUGCCGAUCUGCAUCAGAUGCAUUUCUUUGGAAAGAAAGCACAGUACCGGGAAGAAACCCCCGGAGCACUGGGAAAACGUGCGAGCGCCGCGCACACAGGAAGAGGCGGGAAUUCAAGAAUUGAACCCCCGACCCUGAAGGUGCGAGGCAACCGUGCUAACCAAAAAGCCACCAUGCCCCCUAGAAUCAGCGCUUGACUAUGGACUCACGAGAUGUGUGUUUGUUCAUUGAGAAGUCUGCAAUGCAGUGGAUCCUAUAGAAGUGUUGUUUGAUCAUAACAUCGACGCGUGACAGCGGAAAUCCUUUCUCUAGCCUACGUGUACGCAGUAUAACAUUCUGUAACUCAUAUUACAUAAACGGCUUAGCAGUGCAUCUAAAUGUCUCAAACAGGAAGCGACACUGCAAGUUGAAGCAACAGCACUUUCUCAGCGCUGUGAAAACAAGUCUGGAAAUGACGUGUAUAUGUUUCCACACUGGUGGCACAAACAGUCUGUCUUUGAAAUGAAAGAACUCUUUGCUGAUAAGAAAUUUACUCCCUGUAAAGAAGAGCAACCGUUUUCACCAUCUCUCUCUCUCUCUCUCGCUCUCUCUCUCCAUUCACGCCAACCUUUACAAUCCUGGGCAUUGUACAAGGUCUUAAGGAGUGUAAUCAAUCAAAUCGGCGCAGGACCCGAUGCUAAAUCGGCAGUCUUCGGUUCGCCUGAUAAGACAGGAAGUUGUCUCUCUUGACAUUACGCUCUCUGCCGAGCUGACAGAUUGAAGGAGUGUGACUUUUACCUGCAUAUAUACACCGUCCAAACCGCCAGGGCUGAUAAGGAAGGAAAACAGACUGCAACACUAAUUCUGACAGCAGACGGAUGAUUGAGGCCGUCCUUAUCUGGUAUACAAACUGCUAGGGACUGAUUCGGAAGCCGCAUGCGUGGCAUGAAGAAAAAGAGCUUCGACUCUAGUAAAAAAUGAGCCAUGGCAUGGUUGUUGUUUUGGGGUGCUGGAGAAACUGAUAUCUCCUGGGAUUUCCAUGCGAAACGAUCUAUACUCAGAGCAGAACACCCGGAAUGGUUUGAACCGAACUGUCCUGUCAACCAUGAACAGCAAUCUGAGGCUACAGUGGGCCCAGACUCACCAAAAACGAGACAGAAGACUAGAAGAAACGUGUUGAACAGAGUCUAGACCAGUGUUCACCAACCCUCUUCCGUGAGAUCUACCUUCCUGCGGGUUGCACCUCCAACCAAAAUCUAACACAACUCUUUAAGUCGGUCAAGAACUUCUUGAGGCAAUGAUUAGAUGGUCAGGACGUCAGGAAGGUAGAUCUCCAGGAACAGGGUUGGUAACCACUGGUCUGGACACUGUUCAUGGUGCAGUUUUGCACUUUUUCGAAGUUUAGCAUAACAUAAAAAUUCGCUAUCACACAAACACACACAUUCGUAAAAAAAAUAUAUAUAUAUACGUGCCCUGGAGGUGCAUUUAACGACACACCGGUCUGUUGGAAAAGUCUGUAUCUGGGCAUGUGCCAAUAAUAGAGUUUUACAAUAAUCCGCAAAGUCCAACACGCGUAAUGUUGCAACCCGGAUACUUAUAAAAAGUGAAGCAUUUCAUACGGAUGGAGGCUGAAGCGGUUUUACUGGAACAUCUGUGCUCCUGAGAUUAAGCCUCCCUUGUUCAGAGAGCAGCGUAUAGACAGCGGUACCCUUACUUUUCCUUCUAAGUGUCUUUAUUUUUCCUAGGCGAGCAAAAAGUAAUCAUUUCCACAGAUAGGAAGCAUGUGACAUGCGCAAUAUGAGCGUUGUUUUUUUGUUGUUGAAAUUUUACGUUAUUUCAACUCUCUGGACUCGCACAGGUUCCUCGGUGGCUAAAUGCUAAACGUGUGUCAUGAUCUUAAUGGAGUCUCGGCGCGCGAGCUAAAGCGCUAAACGCGGCGAACGAGUACAUUCACGCGUACGCGCUCCGUUCCCUAAAGCCACCGAGAGAGUGUGUUCUGUUCGGAACAGCAGGGCGCGCUGCAAAAUGAACCAUCUUUCCCCGACUAUCGUUCUUCUCAAAGGGACGCGUCUAAGCACACAAUCAUCCACGGGGGAGACACACUCUGCUUGGCAGGAGCCUGCGAGGCUCGUUGGGACAUGAGGCUGUUCGACAGACCCCUGCUGUAAUGUUCGGUUCCAAGCACACACACACACGAACAUACCCGUACACACACACGGACAGACGUACGAUCAGUCUGUUACAAGCUCCCAUGUGUUCAGACCUUGUAGAAAACAAGUUUACGGAAUGAGAAUUAGGGAAAAUAGGGAGUGUGGUUCUUCGUUUUUAGAUUUUUCGUGUGUGGUUUUUUUUUUUUUUUUUUUGACAACCCUCUCUUUUAGUUAGUUCUCAUUAGUGCGGUUGUGUCUAUUCAGCCGUCGCUGAAAGCACAUGAAGUGUGAUUAGCUGAGCAAAAAAACCCGCACAGUUUGACACGCAGUACCGGCACUGACGGUACGAGGAGAGUAUUUUUUUUUCCACCGAGGAAAUGAGCGCUUGAUGGUUUAAUUAAGAAAUAACUUUCAACAGCUGAAUAAACACUGGUGUUACAGUUACGGUGACGGGGGUGGUAUUUUUGAGGCUGAUUUCGAAGUGAUUGACAGAUCUUGCCCGCUACACACGCACACACACGGGGAUGCUGUUGAAUGAGUGUGUUUGAACAGCGGUGUUUAAUUGCUGACGGAAUUUUACGGCCCAGUUUUAUGCGAGACGAUCAUCGCCGGUGUGCCGCUGCCAAAUCUGCUACACCGUGACUGGCUUAAUAGUGAGAUUAUUGUCUUUAAUACCCGCUCGAUUAAAUGCCGGCUUUGUGUUCCGGGCCGAUGUCUACGCUGUCUACGUAGAACCGUGACACAUCCGGAAGUUAGCAUAAAACCUACGGAUUUCUGGUAAUCGAACAGCAAAAUCGUCUGGGAAGGGCCUACUCUCACAUCCCUAUCGAUCACAAUGACAUCGACUGGCAUCUCUGAGCUCAGGUAGUGAGGAAGAGGACGGGUAGUGUUUUCCUCCGAGGCUGGUCCGCUGCCCCGUGAUGCAGCACGAGCAGCAGUUGGAAAAAGAUGUGGUUGGCUGGCUUUAUGUGCUCCAAAUGUUAGCCUUGACUCUCCCCAAUUGGUAGCUGUUAUUGGUUAGUUCGCAGACGGGGGGGUGGUUAGGGUGGACUACCAAUCGGGCACACGGUGGCUUAGUGGUUAGCAUGUUUGCCUCACACCUCCAGGGUCGGGGGUUCGAUUCCUGCCCUGUGUGUGCGGAGUUUGUAUGUUCCCCCUCAGGGUACUCCGGUUUCCUCCCCCAGUCCAUAGACAUGCACUGCGAGCUGAUUGGCUUGUUUAAAGUGUCCUGUAGUGUGAAUGUGUAUGUGAGUGUGCCCUGUGAUAUAUUGUCACCCUGUCCAGGGUGUACCCCGCCUUGUACCCCAUGCCUCCUGGGAUAGGCUCCAGGUUCCCCGUGACCCUGAAGAAUAAGUGGUAUAGAAAAUGGAUGGAUGGAUGAUUACCAAUAUGGCUUCCACCCUCAGCAUCAGGCAUCUUGUACAUAGAACAGCACUUAUUGUCUUUUUUUUUUUUUACAAGAUGAACUACACGUACUAGAUGUGUAUAAGAGAGAGAGAGAGAGAGACAGAUGAUGUUCUGCAGCGUCCCUGUCAGAAAGUGUCGCAUGCUCAAGUGGGAAACAGCUUGUGCUCUUCAGAUCUUUAUCGCCGUCCUUCUGGAGAGCUGAUUCUACAGAGAGGGCUUCUGCUUCGCUUUGCUAGAAAACAAGCGAACGCAGAGCGAACCGUACACACGGACGCAUGUUCCGUACGCGAAGAGAAUACCUAAUCGCGGCGCCGUAUGUUUAGGCACGCACGAACGCACGCGCGUACACGGAAUCUACAAGGCAAGGUCAAGCAGUUAUUAUUCAGUUAAUGAUAGGUUUAAAUAUUUGAUAACUCUGACCUUCACCUUGGCGCAGGAAGCAAGCGUACAGUGACGACCUCGCACGUCGCACUCACACGAGUCUUCUCGUAGAAAAAAAAAAACCCCAAAUACUGCUCUAACCCAGCAGAAUACGAUAUGUUGUUAGCUACUGGACAUAUUUAAUAAUCCUAUCGUGAACGUUAGUCUAAAGCAGCACAUUUAUGUUACAACCUUUAAAGGAAACGUUUCGAAACCCUCCUUCGACGUUAUACGCCGAGGUUAAUGUUUCGCAUUGUGUUGCGUCGCGGUACAAAACAACGCAGGACAUUGUGCUGGAUCACUAUCAUAGUUUUAGUAGCUAUUACAUUGUGUAUGUUCGCUGUAUUUCACACUCAUGUUUGAUUUAAGGCAGUUUCAACCUCUGUAUCGGGCUCGAUUCGGUACUGGCGACACUUCUGAUAGUCGCACGCGCGUACCCGACACGAACCACACGCGAUCUCGACAGUGUGUGUCUGAACUCUUUCUCUCGUCCGCUUUUUUUUUUUUCUUAUCUGCUAUAAAGUGCGGCAUGAUGCGAGAGAGCGAGAGAGAGAGAGAGAGAGAGAGCUUGUGCAAUCAGUGAUAACUCAGCACAGUGCUUCCUCUAAGGGUUUCUACCGCUUCAUAGUAGACCCUGCUGGAGUCUGGAUUGAGCGGGGGGGGGGGGGGGGGAUAAAGAGAGAUUUCCACACUCCUUGUUCUAAGUCUCAGUGUUAUACUUUCUCUUUCUCCCUAGAGGUACGGGAGGAUAGACGAAGCCCUAACCUAACCUAGCCCUGUGUGUAUCUGUUUGUUCUGGUGUGACGUCCAUCCCUCAUGUCUCCACCUCUCUGUCCCAUAACUGCUACUCUUCCAGUCCCUCUUUCUCUUGUCUAGGUGGAUGGUCUCCCAAACUAGCCACUCAAAUGACCGCCGCACUGACCUGAAUCUCUGCAAAACAUCACCACAGAAGUCUCCACUAAUGACUAAGCUCCGGUAAACACCUAGACGACUAAAGGGUAGGAUUGUGAGCCCUACACCGUAUCCCUUAAUUAACACGAUGCCAGACACAUGCAAUGAGUGUGUGUUGAAUCGUAACAGUGAAAAUAAAUUAAAAAAAAAACAUAACAUAAAAGCUGAAAGUUGCUGCUACUCGCUAGCAUUUGCACGUAAUCAGUCAGGAAUGCUUGCAGAACUGAAGUCGGGACUCCUAAUAAACCUAACAUGUUAUUACCUGUAACGAAGCUCGUUAGAAAAUUCAGGCCAAUUAUAUAAACUGUGUGAAUGCGUUCUGGGAGCAGCACUGGAGAUCCUUAAUGAAAUCUUGUACAGAGAAGCAGCAGAUGAGCAAUACACUGUCAUUUUCUUCAUUUGAGGAAGUAAAGACAGUCACGGCUUUGACUGGACGGUAAGCUGAGAUGCGUCGGAGACCGAAGUCGGACGGCAGGUAAUUAAGGUCCGAAUGGGAUGCGAAAGAGGUGAGAGUGAAACACAUACAGUGCUGUGAGGACAUAUCUGUCCCCAUCCUGAUCUCAUGCUAAAUCGUUUCAGAACGUCAAACGGAAUACAGCAUAAAACAUAGGCGACCUGAAUAAACACACAAUUUUUUUUUAUUUUAUAUUUUUUAUUGAAGCAACAAACAAACAAAAAAGUUCUCCAGCUCCUUAAACUUAAAAUCUGGUUGUUUCACCUUUAGCGGCAAUAACUACAAACAAACGCUUCCGAUAACUGGAGAUCAGACUUUCACUUACUUCUAGGACUAGGAUUUACUCCUGCGCUUUGGAUCGUUGUCUUGCCGCAUGAGUUGCGCUUGAGUUUCAACUUACGGACUGAAGACCGGACAUUCUCCUUUAGGAUUUUCUGCUAGAGAGCAGAAUUCAUGUUUCCCUCAAUUACUGCAAGUUGCCCAGGCCCUGAAGCAGUAAAGCAUCCCCACACCAUUACACUUCCACCACCACUGCUUGACCGUAGGUAUGAUGAUGUUUUUGUUUUUGGUUCACACCAGAUGUAACGGGACACCUGUCUUCCAAACAGUUCCACUUUCGACUCAUCAAUCCACAGAACAUUCUCCCAAAAGGUUUACGGAUCAUCAAGGUGUGUUUUUGCAAAAUUCAGACGAGUCUUAAUGUUCUUCUGGGUUAGCGGUGAUUUUCACCUCACCACUCUAACAUGGGUGCCAUUUUUGCCCAGCGUCUUUCUGAUAGUGGAGUCCUGAAC